ACGGGGUGCAGCAGGCGCGAACACUUUACAAUGCGGGAAACCGCGAUAAGGGAACCCCGAGUGCCAGCAUCAAAUGUUGGCUGUCCAGAUGAUUAAAAAUCAUUUGUUAGCAAGGGCCGGGCAAGACCGGUGCCAGCCGCCGCGGUAACACCGGCGGCCCGAGUGGUAGCCGUUUUUAUUGGGUCUAAAGGGUCCGUAGCCGGCCUGAUAAGUCCUUUGGGAAAUCUGGCAGCUUAACUGUCAGGCUUCUAAGGGAUACUGUCAGGCUUGGGACCGGAAGAGGUAAGGGGUACUCCAGGGGUAGGAGUGAAAUCUUGUAAUCCCUGGGGGACCAUCUGUGGCGAAGGCGCCUUACCAGAACGGGUCCGACGGUGAGGGACGAAAGCUAGGGGAGCAAACCGGAUUAGAUACCCGGGUAGUCCUAGCUGUAAACGAUGCUCGCUAGGUGUCAAACACGGUGCGACCGUGUUUGGUGCCGCAGGGAAGCCGUUAAGCGAGCCACCUGGAAGUACGUCGCAAGGC
Molecule: ribosomal RNA, 522 nt
Filed under: uncultured archaeon
Lineage: Archaea
Description: bacterial SSU rRNA
Rfam family: Archaeal small subunit ribosomal RNA
Source: RNAcentral